UAACCUGCCCAAGAGAUCGGGAUAACACCUGGAAACAGAUGCUAAUACCGGAUAACAACAGAUGAUGCCUAUCAACUGUUUAAAAGAUGGUUCUGCUAUCACUCUUGGAUGGACCUGCGGUGCAUUAGCUAGUUGGUAGGGUAACGGCCUACCAAGGCGAUGAUGCAUAGCCGAGUUGAGAGACUGAUCGGCCACAUUUGGGACUGAGACACGGCCCAAACUCCUACGGGAGGCAGCAGUU
This 241-nucleotide ribosomal RNA is filed under the name uncultured Lactobacillus sp. RNAcentral's name for it is "partial 16S ribosomal RNA". It matches the Rfam family "Bacterial small subunit ribosomal RNA", at positions 122 to 355 of the family's 1533-position model. Lineage: Bacteria; Bacillati; Bacillota; Bacilli; Lactobacillales; Lactobacillaceae. The record is from RNAcentral.